AGGGUGCAGAUAUAUUGUAGG
RNAcentral lists this non-coding RNA (21 nucleotides) under Arabidopsis thaliana (thale cress). Lineage: Eukaryota; Viridiplantae; Streptophyta; Magnoliopsida; Brassicales; Brassicaceae. The record is from RNAcentral.